GUCUACAGCCAUGCCACCCUGAACAAGCCCGGUCCCAUCUGAUCUCAGAAGCUAAGCAGGAUGGGGCCUGGUUAGUACUUGGAUGGGAGACCACCUAAGAAGACCAGGUGCUGUAGGCA
RNAcentral lists this ribosomal RNA (119 nucleotides) under Pteropus alecto (black flying fox). The record is from RNAcentral. Lineage: Eukaryota; Metazoa; Chordata; Mammalia; Chiroptera; Pteropodidae.